CAGACUGGAGACAUGACAACAUAGUGGAGGCCUACAGACUGGAGACAUGACAACAUAGUGGAGGCCUACAGACUGGAGACAUUACAACAUAGUGGAGGCCUACAGACUGGAGACAUGACAUCAUAGUGGAGGCCUACAGACUGGAGACAUUACAACAUAGUGGAGGCCUAGAGACUGGAGACAUGACAUCACGGUAGAGGGCUACGAACUGGAGACAUUACAACAUAGUGGAGACCUACAGACUGGAGUCAUGACAACAUAGUGGAGGCCUGCAGACUGGGGAUAUGACAAUAUAGUGGAGACCUACAGACUGGAGACAUUACAACAUAGUGGAGGCCUGCUGAUUGGUGAUAUGACAACAUUGUGGAGGCCUACAGACUGGAGACAUUACAACAUAGUGGAGACCUACAGACUGGAGUCAUGACAACAUAGUGGAGGCCUGCAGACUGGGGAUAUGACAACAUAGUGGAGGCCUGCAGACUGGAGACAUUAUUACAUAGUGGAGGCCUGAAGACUGGGGAUAUGACAACAUAUUGUAGGCCUACAGACUGGAGACAUUACAUCAUAGUGGAGGACUACGGACUGGGGACAUGACAUUAUAGUGGAGGACUACGGACUGGGGACAUGACAUUAUUGUGGAAAACUACAGACAUAGCAACAUAGUUGAGGCCUACAGACUGGAGACAUUACAUCAUAGUGGAGGCCUACAGACUGGAGACAUUACAUCAUAGUGGAGGCCUACAGACUGGGGACAUGACAUUAUAGUAGAAGACUACAGACAUGGCAACAUAGUGGAGGCCUACAGACUGGAGACAUUACAAAAUAGUGAAGACUAACAGACUGGAGACAGGACAACAUAGUGAAGGCCUACAGACUGGAGACAUGACAACAUAGUGGAGGCCUACAGACUGGAGACAUGACAUCAUAGCGGAGGCCUACAGACUGGAGACAUGACAUCAUAGUGGAGGACUACAGACUGGAGACAUGACAACAUAGUGGAGGCCUACAGACUGGAGACAUGACAACAUAGUGGAGGCCUACAGACUGGAGACAUGACAACAUAGUGGAGGCCUACAGACUGGAGUCAUGACAACAUAGGGGGGGCCUACAGACUGGAGACAUGACAACAUAGUGGAAGCUAACAG
Molecule: long non-coding RNA, 1145 nt
Filed under: Salmo salar (Atlantic salmon)
Lineage: Eukaryota; Metazoa; Chordata; Actinopteri; Salmoniformes; Salmonidae
Description: lncRNA (ENSSSAG00000107753.1)
Source: RNAcentral